RNAcentral lists this ribosomal RNA (409 nucleotides) under bacterium. RNAcentral describes it as "partial 16S ribosomal RNA". It matches the Rfam family "Bacterial small subunit ribosomal RNA", at positions 355 to 776 of the family's 1533-position model. The record is from RNAcentral.
UGGGGAAUAUUGCACAAUGGGCGAAAGCCUGAUGCAGCGACGCCGCGUGAGGGAUGACGGCCUUCGGGUUGUAAACCUCUUUCAGUAGGGACGAAGCGCAAGUGACGGUACCUGCAGAAGAAGCACCGGCUAACUACGUGCCAGCAGCCGCGGUAAUACGUAGGGUGCGAGCGUUGUCCGUAAUUACUGGGCGUAAAGAGCUCGUAGGCGGUUUGUCACAUCGUCUGUGAAAUCCUAGGGCUUAACCCUGGACGUGCAGGCGAUACGGGCUGACUUGAGUACUACCGGGGAGACUGGAAUUUCUGGUGUAGCGGUGGAAUGCACAGAUAUCAGGAAGAACACCGAUGGCGAAGGCAGGUCUCUGGGUAGUAACUGACGCUGAGGAGCGAAAGCAUGGGUAGCGAACAGG